Molecule: ribosomal RNA, 492 nt
Filed under: uncultured bacterium
Lineage: Bacteria
Description: partial 16S ribosomal RNA
Rfam family: Bacterial small subunit ribosomal RNA
Source: RNAcentral
AGUGAACGCUGGCGGUAGGCCUAACACAUGCAAGUCGAACGGCAGCACAGUAAUAGCUUGCUCUUACGGGUGGCGAGUGGUGGACGGGUGGGGAAUACAUCGGAAUCUACUUUUUCGUGUGGGUUAACGUAGGGAAACUUACGCUAAUACCGCAUACGACCUACGGUUGAAAGCAGGGGAUCUUCGGACCUGGCUGAAAUGAAUGAGCCGAUGUCGGAUUAGCUAGUUGGCGGGGUAAAGGCCCACGGGGGCGAGCAUCCGUAGCUGGUACGAGAGGAAGAUGCGACAGCCUGGAACUGAGAGACGGUCCAGACUCCUACGGGAGGCAGCAGUGGGGAAUAUUGGACAAUGGGGGCAAGCCUGAUCCAGCACUACCGCGUAGGUGAAGAAGGCCUUAGGGUUGUAAAGCCCUUUUGUUGGGAAAGAAAAGCAGCAGGUUAAUACCCCGCUGUUCUGACGGUACCCAAAGAAUAAGCACCGGCUAACUUCGUG